RNAcentral lists this ribosomal RNA (439 nucleotides) under uncultured bacterium. RNAcentral describes it as "partial 16S ribosomal RNA". It matches the Rfam family "Bacterial small subunit ribosomal RNA", at positions 339 to 795 of the family's 1533-position model. The record is from RNAcentral.
CUACGGGGGGCUGCAGUGGGGAAUAUUGCACAAUGGAGGAAACUCUGAUGCAGCAACGCCGCGUGGAGGAUGACACUUUUCGGAGCGUAAACUCCUUUUAUAUAGGAAGAUAGUGACGGUACUAUAUGAAUAAGCACCGGCUAACUCCGUGCCAGCAGCCGCGGUAAUACGGAGGGUGCAAGCGUUACUCGGAAUCACUGGGCGUAAAGAGCGUGUAGGCGGGUUAAUAAGUCAGAAGUGAAAUCCUAUGGCUCAACCAUAGAACUGCUUUUGAAACUGUUAACCUAGAAUAUGGGAGAGGUAGAUGGAAUUUCUGGUGUAGGGGUAAAAUCCGUAGAGAUCAGAAGGAAUACCGAUUGCGAAGGCGAUCUACUGGAACAUUAUUGACGCUGAGACGCGAAAGCGUGGGGAGCAAACAGGAUUAGAUACCCUAGUAGUC